CACAUCAGUUUGAGAAAAAACGUUGUGUUGAGGACAGUCUGGCCUUGCAGUGAGACAAUUCAGCACAUCUUUUGAGAUCAUAGCCUUAAUCAAAUCACUCAUUCUUUCUAUAAAUUUUAUAGUUGGGCCACUGUCUUCCAGUUCAGGAUAAAUGUUUUUCUCUUUCAAGUACUUCAUGGAAGAGAGAACACUACCAAAAAACUGUUGACAAACAAGAGAAGUGUCUUGGAUUUCACAUCAAAAAGGUAUCUAAUAUUAGUACUGUAACAUUUUAUGAGUUCACCUCAAAUGCCAUCUUGACAUUCAUCUUCUGGUGGUUUGAUGGCUUUAAGUGAUCAGAACGUAAAGUCCAACACUGUUUGAUUGCAGUUUUUUCAUUGUGUUUUAUGACAGUUUCCCAAUGCGAUGACUUAAUUAUUCCGUCUGGCAACUGCAAAAAGAUUUAAGAUAAAACAACUUGUCAGUAUGUUUUGACCAGAUGGGGAAAAUCCGAAGCAAACCAGAGCUUUUGGUUUUUAUCUCCUGGGUGCUCUGUGUGUGAUGUAUGGAUGUUUACCCCUGAAAGCUUCCACAUUGUACGGUUCCAUCGAGCACCAUCCGUUGUCACAAUGUCAACUAUAAACCCUUGGUUAUAGAGAAGGACAAUAGCCUCCACAACCAUCUUUCUUAAAAUAUGUCCUGGCACAGCUACUGAACUUAGAAAUGCACCUAAGGAGGGGUGUACUUCCCAAGGUCUACAACCCCAUGAACCUCGCACAUGUCAGCUCUGUAGUUCAGAAGUGCAUCAAGCUGCAUCUCAUCGAGUAAUAGGCAUCCUGACAAAUGGUAGAAAAGGUUCGUUAAAGUAACAGCUUAAAAUCUUAAAAUUAACAUCAGGCUUAUGUUUGGAGCAUACCAUGCUUUUCAGACUUGUCAAAAUUUUUUCCUUUG
Molecule: long non-coding RNA, 930 nt
Organism: Frankliniella occidentalis (western flower thrips)
Lineage: Eukaryota; Metazoa; Arthropoda; Insecta; Thysanoptera; Thripidae
Exons: 3
Source: RefSeq, a predicted model, not a curated record